GGGCCAGUAGGUUGGUCGUGCCACCGGUACGUACUGGUCUCACUGAUUCCUCCUCCCUGAAGAACCGUAAUGCCAUUAAUUUGGUGUUGCGGGGAAACAGGACUGUUACUUUGAAAAAAUUAGAGUGUUUAAAGCAAGCUAACGCUUGAAUACAUUAGCAUGGAAUAAUGAAAUAGGACGAUCGAUCCUAUUUUGUUGGUUUCUAGGAUUGACGUA
This 216-nucleotide ribosomal RNA is filed under the name Glomeromycotina sp. Its description in RNAcentral is "partial small subunit ribosomal RNA". The stretch from base 75 to 216 matches the Rfam family "Eukaryotic small subunit ribosomal RNA", at positions 721 to 864 of the family's 1831-position model. The record is from RNAcentral. Lineage: Eukaryota; Fungi; Glomeromycota.